Vitis vinifera (wine grape) is the source of this 333-nucleotide long non-coding RNA. RefSeq lists it as uncharacterized. The transcript has 2 exons. The record is from RefSeq and is a predicted model, not a curated record. Lineage: Eukaryota; Viridiplantae; Streptophyta; Magnoliopsida; Vitales; Vitaceae.
UAGCACGGGUGGUAGGGUGGUAUCAAAACAUCGCAGUAGGCUUCAUCCAGAUACUUUGGAGGCCUUAAUGUGUGCUCAAAGUUGGUUAUGGAAGGAAAAAGAAGGUGAUUCAUCAAUUCAUGACUCACAGCCCCAACUCACAAUGAUGGAUGAAAAUGAUGAUUUACUUGUGCUUUAGAUUUUUUACUUAAGAUGAUGUUAGAGACAUUUUUUCUUUCUUUUUUGCUAACAAUUUCUUUGUAAUGUCUUUUUUUUUUUUUUUUUUUUUCAGUGUUGUUAAGCUUAUGGAUAUAUUUUAAUUUUGGAUAUUAUAUUUUGGCAUGUCUUCUAUGA